AGGAGGAACAACCCCAGUGGCGGGGCCAGCUCUAGAGCCCUGGAGUCAGCUCCCACAGUAACUCCAGAGCUCUCUGUCUGCAGGGCCUGGAGGCUCCGGGGCGGG
This 105-nucleotide microRNA precursor is filed under the name Canis lupus familiaris (dog). Its description in RNAcentral is "mir-8834 microRNA precursor family". It matches the Rfam family "mir-8834 microRNA precursor family". RNAcentral also lists the same sequence under 1 other name. Lineage: Eukaryota; Metazoa; Chordata; Mammalia; Carnivora; Canidae. The record is from Rfam by way of RNAcentral.